RNAcentral lists this ribosomal RNA (547 nucleotides) under uncultured bacterium. Its description in RNAcentral is "bacterial SSU rRNA". It matches the Rfam family "Bacterial small subunit ribosomal RNA", at positions 355 to 896 of the family's 1533-position model. The record is from RNAcentral.
UGGGGAAUAUUGCGCAAUGGGGGGAACCCUGACGCAGCCAUGNCGCGUGAAUGAAGAAGGCCUUAGGGUUGUAAAGUUCUUUCGGUAUUGAGGAAGGUUGAUGUGUUAAUAGCACAUCAAAUUGACGUUAAAUACAGAAGAAGCACCGGCUAACUCCGUGCCAGCAGCCGCGGUAAUACGGAGGGUGCGAGCGUUAAUCGGAAUAACUGGGCGUAAAGGGCACGCAGGCGGUUAUUUAAGUGAGGUGUGAAAGCCCCGGGCUUAACCUGGGAAUUGCAUUUCAGACUGGGUAACUAGAGUACUUUAGGGAGGGGUAGAAUUCCACGUGUAGCGGUGAAAUGCGUAGAGAUGUGGAGGAAUACCGAAGGCGAAGCNAGCCCCUUGGGAAUGUACUGACGCUCAUGUGCGAAAGCGUGGGGAGCAAACAGGAUUAGAUACCCUGGUAGUCCACGCUGUAAACGCUGUCGAUUUGGGGGUUGGGGUUUAACUCUGGCGCCCGUAGCUAACGUGAUAAAUCGACCGCCUGGGGAGUACGGCCGCAAGGUUA